RNAcentral lists this long non-coding RNA (779 nucleotides) under Homo sapiens (human). RNAcentral describes it as "HSALNT0324221". Lineage: Eukaryota; Metazoa; Chordata; Mammalia; Primates; Hominidae. The record is from RNAcentral.
CUGUGGGAGAAUAGUAAGCAUUGGACACAAAAUGUAACUCCAGGUUGAAGAACUUCUACUUAUAGGCAUCUAUUCAACGAAGACGAAUCCUGGAAUGGGGAUGGAAAUGAUGGCUCAUGUCUUAGCAAACUACCAAACUGAUCCGAGAGGACAGGGAAGUCAGUGUGGGCGGCUCUAAGGAGCCUCCCUCUCUACAGCUGCGGCUCAGAGGAUUACGGCGCUUCAUCCACAAGGCAACAUUGCACAAGUAGCUUUUGAACAAAAGUCAUGGAUACUAUUAAUGAUAUGUUCCCACACACAUUUAGUGUCGUCUCAAAAUUCACGCUGUCAACUGUCUCUAGGAAUCAUUUCCAUCUGAGAACAGACCACACAAAGACACAGUGAAACUCAGUUUCUGCAGAAUUUGAUUUCAUUUGAGUUACUGGGGAACAAAGCAAUUAGACAAUGAAUAAUAGCUCAAGACAGGCUGAAGCUGAAGAUUUCUGCAAAAGAAUGAAGAGGAAACGUUUUGAUCCUGAGCAGAUGUUCUCCCUAGAUUGCUUCACCUGAGGUUGAUUGACUUUUGGAAACGAGAUUUGUUCCCAGUGCUUUGUGAGUCUCUUGUUGGAAGGACUGUCUUUAAAUUAAAGCAAUUAGAGUUACUUUAUAAGAUUUACCCAAAUAUAAGAGCUGAAGAGAAUAAUUCAAAUUGAUCAGAAGAAAAUACUCAAUUACUGACAAAUGUCAAUUACAUCAAUAGCCUAGGCUGCUCUUGAACUCCUGGGCUCAAACGAUCCUCC